CAGGGCCACAAAACCCCAGACAACUUUGCUCCAAGGAUCAUUGGGACGCACAAACUCUUCCACCACGAUAAGCUGGGCUAAGCUCCAGCACUCCCUCGUGCGACCCUUGUGAGGAUAAGCGGCUCAGAAACUAGAUGGAUGGAUAAUGAACCACAUUCCUGCCUGAUGUCAGACUCCUCAAGGAGGUUUUCAGCCCACACGAGUGUCAUGGAAGGAUGCGUCCCGUCACGGAUCCAGCUGCCGGGCCCUGCUGCGUAUACGUCGCCAUAUUGACCCAGGAAACAGAUUGGCACCAAAUACGCACUGACGUGUAAUUUUCUUUCUUUCCCUGUGGCACCACUUGAAGUAUUCAAGCCGCCACGUGGAUGAAGUGAGUCCAUCGGCCGCCCUUUUCAAAUACUGUACAUCCAUCUAAAUGGUGGCUCCUCUUAGCUAAAUAAAAUGGUGGCGCUUUCCCCCCCGACCCGAUGCUGAGAACUCACUCUGUGUUAACAAUGUAACGUAGGCCUUUUUGGAUGCUUUAUCAAUACAAAUUGAAAACGGUGUCCAACAGGGGUCAAUCAUAAACAAUGCUGGACUUUACUCCAUUUGUCAACAGUCAAAGAAUAUAUUUUGGC
Molecule: long non-coding RNA, 617 nt
Organism: Phycodurus eques (leafy seadragon)
Lineage: Eukaryota; Metazoa; Chordata; Actinopteri; Syngnathiformes; Syngnathidae
Exons: 3
Source: RefSeq, a predicted model, not a curated record